Molecule: unclassified non-coding RNA, 379 nt
Filed under: soil metagenome
Description: partial contains 5.8S ribosomal RNA, internal transcribed spacer 2, and large subunit ribosomal RNA
Rfam family: 5.8S ribosomal RNA (bases 1-120)
Source: RNAcentral
GAUGAAGAACGUAGCGAAAUGCGAUAAGUAAUGUGAAUUGUAGAAUUCAGUGAAUCAUCGAAUCUUUGAACGCACCUUGCACCCUUUGGCAUUCCGAAGGGUAUGCUCGUUUGAGUGUCAUUGUACUCUCACACUUCCAAUCUUUGGAUUGGGAGCAGUGGACUUGGGUGUUGCUGCUUACUGUGGCUCACCUCAAAUCGAUUCGUGCACCUCUUGGUUGGACAUAGUACGGCGUGAUAAGUGUCUUCGCCGGCACCUCAGUAGAGGGUGGCUGAUCAGGAGCUCUGUGCUUCAAACCGUCCUCGGACAACAACUGACAACUUGACCUCAAAUCGAGUAGGACUACCCGCUGAACUUAAGCAUAUCAAUAAGCGGAGGA